UGGUGAACACGGAGCUUGCAUCUGUGGGAUCAGUGGCGAACGGGUGAGUAACACGUGAGCAACCUGCCCCUGACUCUGGGAUAAGCGCUGGAAACGGCGUCUAAUACUGGAUACGAGUAGCGACCGCAUGGUCAGUUACUGGAAAGAUUUAUUGGUUGGGGAUGGGCUCGCGGCCUAUCAGCUUGUUGGUGAGGUAAUGGCUCACCAAGGCGUCGACGGGUAGCCGGCCUGAGAGGGUGACCGGCCACACUGGGACUGAGACACGGCCCAGACUCCUACGGGAGGCAGCAGUGGGGAAUAUUGCACAAUGGGCGCAAGCCUGAUGCAGCAACGCCGCGUGAGGGAUGACGGCCUUCGGGUUGUAAACCUCUUUUAGCAGGGAAGAAGCGAAAGUGACGGUACCUGCAGAAAAAGCGCCGGCUAACUACGUGCCAGCAGCCGCGGUAAUACGUAGGGCGCAAGCGUUAUCCGGAAUUAUUGGGCGUAAAGAGCUCGUAGGCGGUUUGUCGCGUCUGCUGUGAAAUCCGGAGGCUCAACCUCCGGCCUGCAGUGGGUACGGGCAGACUAGAGUGCGGUAGGGGAGAUUGGAAUUCCUGGUGUAGCGGUGGAAUGCGCAGAUAUCAGGAGGAACACCGAUGGCGAAGGCAGAUCUCUGGGCCGUAACUGACGCUGAGGAGCGAAAGGGUGGGGAGCAAACAGGCUUAGAUACCCUGGUAGUCCACCCCGUAAACGUUGGGAACUAGUUGUGGGGUCCAUUCCACGGAUUCCGUGACGCAGCUAACGCAUUAAGUUCCCCGCCUGGGGAGUACGGCCGCAAGGCUAAAACUCAAAGGAAUUGACGGGGACCCGCACAAGCGGCGGAGCAUGCGGAUUAAUUCGAUGCAACGCGAAGAACCUUACCAAGGCUUGACAUAUACGAGAACGGGCCAGAAAUGGUCAACUCUUUGGACACUCGUAAACAGGUGGUGCAUGGUUGUCGUCAGCUCGUGUCGUGAGAUGU
RNAcentral lists this ribosomal RNA (1000 nucleotides) under Microbacterium foliorum. Its description in RNAcentral is "bacterial SSU rRNA". It matches the Rfam family "Bacterial small subunit ribosomal RNA", at positions 67 to 1075 of the family's 1533-position model. Lineage: Bacteria; Bacillati; Actinomycetota; Actinomycetes; Micrococcales; Microbacteriaceae. The record is from RNAcentral.